Molecule: ribosomal RNA, 519 nt
Filed under: uncultured fungus
Lineage: Eukaryota; Fungi
Description: SSU rRNA
Rfam family: Eukaryotic small subunit ribosomal RNA
Source: RNAcentral
AUUAGAUUAAAAACCAAUGCCCUUCGGGGCUCUCUGGUGAUUCAUGAUAACUUCUCGAAUCGCAUGGCCUUGCGCCGGCGAUGGUUCAUUCAAAUUUCUUCCCUAUCAACUUUCGAUGUUUGGGUAUUGGCCAAACAUGGUUGCAACGGGUAACGGAGGGUUAGGGCUCGACCCCGGAGAAGGAGCCUGAGAAACGGCUACUACAUCCAAGGAAGGCAGCAGGCGCGCAAAUUACCCAAUCCCUACUCGGGGAGGUAGUGACAAUAAAUACUGAUACAGGGUUCUUUCGGAUCUUGUAAUUGGAAUGAGUACAAUUUAAAUCCCUUAACGAGGAACAAUUGGAGGGCAAGUCUGGUGCCAGCAGCCGCGGUAAUUCCAGCUCAAAUAGCGUAUAUUAAAGUUGUUGUGGUUAAAAAGCUCGUAGUUGAACCUUGGGCCUGGCUGGCCGGUCCGCCUCACCGCGUGUACUGGGUCCGGCCGGGCCUUUUCCCUCUGUGGAACCCUAUGCCCUUCACUGGG